Molecule: ribosomal RNA, 491 nt
Filed under: uncultured bacterium
Lineage: Bacteria
Description: bacterial SSU rRNA
Rfam family: Bacterial small subunit ribosomal RNA
Source: RNAcentral
CUAGUAGAGUGGCGCACGGGUGAGUAACGCGUAAGUAAUCUACCCUCGCAUCUGGGAUAACCCACCGAAAGGUGUGCUAAUACCUGAUACGUCUGGAAUUAUACUUUGAAUCUAGAGAAAGGUGGCCUCUUCAUGAAAGCUACUGUGCGGGGAGGAGCUUGCGUACCAUUAGCUAGUUGGUAGGGUAACGGCCUACCAAGGCGAUGAUGGUUAGCGGGUCUGAGAGGAUGAUCCGCCACACUGGAACUGAAACACGGACCAGACUCCUACGGGAGGCAGCAGUGAGGAAUAUUGCGCAAUGGGGGCAACCCUGACGCAGCGACGCCGCGUGGAUGAUGAAGGCCUUCGGGUUGUAAAAUCCUGUCAGAUGGGAAGAAGUGGUACAUAUCCAAUACGUAUGUACUUUGACGGUACCAUCAAAGGAAGCACCGGCUAACUCCGUGCCAGCAGCCGCGGUAAUACGGAGGGUGCAAGCGUUGUUCGGAAUUACU